AAAUGAAUAGACGGGGGCCCGCACAAGCGGAGGAACAUGUGGUUUAAUUCGAUGAUACGCGAGGAACCUUACCUGGGCUUAAAUGUAGAUUGCAUUUCCGAGAAAUCGGGAUUCCCUUCGGGGCUAUUUACAAGGUGCUGCAUGGUUGUCGUCAGCUCGUGCCGUGAGGUGUCGGGUUAAGUCCCAUAACGAGCGCAACCCCUAUCGUUAGUUGCCAGCGGAUAAUGCCGGGGACUCUAGCGAGACUGCCACCGUAAGGUGUGAGGAAGGUGGGGAUGACGUCAAAUCAGCACGGCCCUUAUGUCCAGGGCUACACACGUGUUACAAUGGCAGGUACAAAGGGCAGCCACCUCGCGAGAGGGCGCUAAUCCCAAAAGCCUGUCCCAGUUCGGAUUGGAGUCUGCAACCCGACUCCAUGAAGUUGGAUUCGCUAGUAAUCGGAUAUCAGCCAUGAUCCGGUGAAUACGUUCCCGGGCCUUGUACACACCGCCCGU
RNAcentral lists this ribosomal RNA (494 nucleotides) under uncultured bacterium. RNAcentral describes it as "bacterial SSU rRNA". It matches the Rfam family "Bacterial small subunit ribosomal RNA", at positions 903 to 1397 of the family's 1533-position model. The record is from RNAcentral.